GGGAGAGCUGGCUGCGGGAGAAGUGGAGCUGGCCCUGGGUAUGACCUGUAAGAUGCUCUUGUAUUUCAGAUGUCCAUGAGAAGUCAACGUGGGAGAGUGUGGGCAUCUCCCUGGGGGAGGAGAAGCCCCAGGGGAUGACCCUGCUGCCCGUUGUAGAGAAGGCCAUUCCUGUGACCACAUAGGCCAAACUGAGUCAGGCUGCCAGGCCUGACUGGGGUUUUUGCUUCAGUGGUGGCCACAGGCAUUGCUACUGCCAAAGGCACCCUGGGUCCUGGAGCGAGGUCUGUCGUAGGUUAGGGAGAGCUGGGUGUGGGGAGCAGGCUAUGCACAGACAGCCAACAGGAAGAAAGCCACAUGGACACUGCAGUGGACACCAGAGAGGUCCAAGUGGCACUUUCUUUCUUUUUUUAAUAUUUAUUUUUCAGGACACAACACAAUGCCUUUAUUUCUAUGUGGUGCUGAGGAUCGAACCUGGGUCCUGCCCAUGCUAGGUGAGCACUCUACCGCUGAGCCACAAUCCCAGCCCCCAACUGGCACUUUCACCAAAACACCCCAGCCUGUCUGGAUCACUUUCUCCUGCUACCUCCCACCUGAGUUUCCCCUUUGAUCCAUCAACCCGUGUGGGUUGAUCAUGGUGCAGCCCAGAGCUCCUGGAGGGAAGAGUCCAGUUGUGGUGACCCUGCCAGCUCCUGUCCAUUUCUCCCUCCUUCUUUUCUUCUGGGUGUCAGCCAUUCUUUGUGUCCCUUUCACUCUUACUGCCUUGCUUCUCUCUCUUUUCUCUUUGGGUGCUGUCAUCUCUCUUUCUCUCUGUCCUUCCUGCCUUCAUUCAUUUAGCAAACACUGGCUGUGUGCUGGGGAUGCAGAAAUGUAGCAGACACACCCCUGCAGGAGCUCAGAGUCUGGGGGAGGCAGAUGAGUAAGCAGACAAACGCAGUUGGGUCUGGUAAGUGCUGGGGCAGCAGCAUGCAGGAGAGACAAGGGACCACGGAGGAGGGAGUAAGCGGCAGCUUUGCUGGAGGAAACCAAGGAAGGUUUCACAGAGGAGGUGACAUUUGAACUGGGGCUUUCCAUAGGACCAGGAAUUUCCCAGGUAGAUAAGCAUGGUAAGGGAUUCCAGGUAG
RNAcentral lists this long non-coding RNA (1121 nucleotides) under Marmota monax (woodchuck). Lineage: Eukaryota; Metazoa; Chordata; Mammalia; Rodentia; Sciuridae. The record is from RNAcentral.